This 253-nucleotide ribosomal RNA is filed under the name uncultured bacterium. Its description in RNAcentral is "partial 16S ribosomal RNA". It matches the Rfam family "Bacterial small subunit ribosomal RNA", at positions 524 to 776 of the family's 1533-position model. The record is from RNAcentral.
UACGUAGGGUGCAAGCGUUAAUCGGAAUUACUGGGCGUAAAGCGUGCGUAGACGGUUAUGUAAGUCAGGUGUGAAAGCCCCGGGCUCAACCUGGGAAUUGCAUUUGAGACUGCAUAGCUAGGGUGCGGAAGAGGGAAGCGGAAUUUCCGGUGUAGCGGUGAAAUGCGUAGAUAUCGGAAGGAACACCAGUGGCGAAAGCGGCUUCCUGGUCCAGCACCGACGUUCAGGCACGAAAGCGUGGGGAGCAAACAGG